Molecule: long non-coding RNA, 747 nt
Organism: Ipomoea nil (Japanese morning glory)
Lineage: Eukaryota; Viridiplantae; Streptophyta; Magnoliopsida; Solanales; Convolvulaceae
Exons: 4
Source: RefSeq, a predicted model, not a curated record
UAUAGAAACCGCCGCUAGUUUAAUAUAAUCGCACAUUAAUUGAUUUUAGCUCUUCGCCAUUUCAGUUUUCAAAAAAAAAAAAAAACAAAAGCUCUUCGCCAUUUCACCUGCACUGACUGUUCACCGCACUACACCAUUUCAUUAUCCCCGCACGUCACUGAAUCCAAGUGUUCUUCCGUCAAUUGCUCGAUCACUUCACCGCGCCUCGGUUUUAGCUCAAGGAAGUCUCCGACAAUUGCCCUAACCUCACUUCACCGCUCCGUUCCGUCAAUUUUAGGCUGUGGUGAGAGAGACGUGUAAUAGCUGUGAGGAAGCCUCAGGAUUUCCAGAAGGGAAAAAAAAAGCACCGUUUGUAAAAGGAAAAGCCACGACGAAGGUGGUAUCUCUUUCCAAAGACAGGUAUGCCAAGAUCAAAAAGGUUCAUGGAUAUGAGUCGGUCAAUGUCUCAUCAACAAUCUUCUUCAUCAACACACGAGCAAUUGUUGAAUGAUGCACCACUUGAAGAACAAACUCAGGAUAAUGAAACACCUCAAGAGCAAACUCAAGAUAGUGAAACACGACAAGAUCAAAAUGAAGAUUUGCCAUCUUCGGGAAAACAAGGAUUUCGUGGGAAGUUGAUGUGAUUAAUGAAGAAGGAUUUGUGAAGGAAAAAAAAAAAUGAAAGUUAAAGAAGUUUGGACACUUCCAUUGGGUGAAAAAGUCAUAGUCCCAUUUGUCAACUUUGAUACACCAUUCACUGAAGCAUCA